This 332-nucleotide ribosomal RNA is filed under the name uncultured bacterium. RNAcentral's name for it is "bacterial SSU rRNA". It matches the Rfam family "Bacterial small subunit ribosomal RNA", at positions 28 to 352 of the family's 1533-position model. The record is from RNAcentral.
GACGAACGCUGACGGUGUGCUUUAGACAUGCAAGUCGAACGAGAAAGCCCUUCGGGUUAGUAAAGUGGCGAACGGGUGAGUAACACGUGGGCAAUCUGCCCCUCGCAGGGGGACGAACCGGAGGAAACUCCGGCUAAUACCCCGUAAGUUCAAAGGGAGGGCAUCUCUCUUCGAAGAAAGGUAGCUUCGGCCAUCCGGCGAGGGAUGAGCCCGCGGUGCAUUAGCUAGUUGGUGGGGUAACGGCCUACCAAGGCGACGAUGCAUAGCUGGUCUGAGAGGAUGAUCAGCCACACUGGGACUGAGACACGGCCCAGACUCCUACGGGAGGCAGC